RNAcentral lists this ribosomal RNA (478 nucleotides) under uncultured bacterium. RNAcentral's name for it is "partial 16S ribosomal RNA". It matches the Rfam family "Bacterial small subunit ribosomal RNA", at positions 28 to 523 of the family's 1533-position model. The record is from RNAcentral.
GACGAACGCUGGCGGCGUGCUUAACACAUGCAAGUCGAACGGUAAGGCCCUUCGGGGUACACGAGUGGCGAACGGGUGAGUAACACGUGGGUGAUCUGCCCUGCACUUCGGGAUAAGCCUGGGAAACUGGGUCUAAUACCGGAUAGGACCACUGCCUGCAUGGGUGGUGGUGGAAAGCUUUUGCGGUGUGGGAUGGGCCCGCGGCCUAUCAGCUUGGUGGUGGGGUGAUGGCUUACCAAGGCGCCGACGGGUAGCCGGCCUGAGAGGGUGACCGGCCACACUGGGACUGAGAUACGGCCCAGACUCCUACGGGAGGCAGCAGUGGGGAAUAUUGCACAAUGGGCGCAAGCCUGAUGCAGCGACGCCGCGUGAGGGAUGACGGCCUUCGGGUUGUAAACCUCUUUCAGCACCGACGAAGCGCAAGUGACGGUAGGUGCAGAAGAAGGACCGGCCAACUACGUGCCAGCCGCCGCGGUAA